Molecule: long non-coding RNA, 1654 nt
Organism: Astatotilapia calliptera (eastern happy)
Lineage: Eukaryota; Metazoa; Chordata; Actinopteri; Cichliformes; Cichlidae
Source: Ensembl
AGAAAAACAAACAAAACAAAAACACAUCUGGGAAACACUGCCACAACUAAAACUUGGAUACGCAGCAUUUAUAUAUAUUUUUAAAAUAUUUCCUUUACAGCUUGUCUUAAUGACUUUUGUCUUAUAUACGUCUGCCUUCCCUUGGACUGUUCUGAUUGGCUGUUGUUUAGGGAGGCUAUUUGGUUGUGAGGUUAUAAAAGAGGAAAAAAGAAAUGGAGUUUUAACUGACUACACCUCCACUUCAUUUCCCCAACGCCACAUCAAAGAAAGGAACAGUUGGAAGUGCUGUCAUACUUUACAAGAAUAAUAAAAAGCAAAUAUGGAAAAGGAAAAAUGACUGACUCAGUUAUUACAAAAGUUCAGUUUUCAUCAGCCCUGCGUGUUUGUCUCAAUAUACAAAUAAUAAUGAUAAUAUCAGAUGUCUAUGACAAAAUGAACUUUGCUGUCUUGACUGCCAUGGUCACUGUAGCCCUUGUCCAUCUGGGCACUACGAACUCUUUACCUUGUCAAGGCACAAGCCUCCGAAGUAAAUAUGACGAAUUUAUCAGAAGACACAUCCUUCAAGAUGAAUUUAACCGAAGUCUUCCAAGAGAGUGGGAGAAAUAUUUGAAAAAGAAAGGCCUCUGGUGCAGAACUCCAGUGCAGUCCUUCAUCGAGAGCAGAGAUCGGGUGAAUAUCGAUAGGAUCUGCAGCCGAAAUGGUCGACGUCUAAUUAAUGCCUUCCCAGAUAACUUGUGUAUCAGUAGUUCAAACAUACUGGUACAUGACAUCCAGUUUGUAAAUGGUUGUGAACUUAAUGUGAUAUCACAUCAAAAGCCUGUGAUUGUAGCCUGCAAUAAUGUUGAAAACCGCUGCCGCCCUGUGCAUUUUGAGAGAUACCAACAGCAAAUGCCAAGCAAUAUGCCCUGCAUGUAGCCACAGUUUUGCACUAUUUGAUGUACUAAUUAGUCAAUCGGGCUUUUCAAGUAUAAUCUCAAUCAAAUAAAUGAAUAAAUGUAUCCUACAGAGCUUGCUGAAUGGUGCAACUCUGAGUAUCUGUCUUCAUGUUUAUUAAAUGUAACAGUGAGUUCCUGUUCAAAUAAUGUGAGUAAAUGUUCAGAGUCAUUAUUGUCAGUCAUUGUUUUCAUUUUUAGAAUGUUGGCUUUAUUCUUUGUCAAUUUGGUUAAAUAUUUCAACACAAUUAACAUAAAGAGUGAAUCUUACGCAUUUUUGUUGUAAUUGGGAAGUCGUCAUUACUGGGAUUCAGUCUUGUUCUCCAAGUGCUGUGCUAUAGCCAGUCUGGCUUCUAUCUGGAAUCCAUUUUUAAGCACAUGUAAAACAAUUAUAAAACAGUUGUCAGCUUUUCUUGUCUUUCAGCUGUUAAUACCAACAAAUAUUUGGGGGGGGGGGGGGGGGGGGGGGGGUUGCAGAGCAUGUCUGUAAGACCCAGUGACUAUGAGUUAUGAGUUUUGCAUACAGCGGCAUAAAUUUGCUUGUCUUGCUGCAGCUGCAGGAACACUGCAUUUUCCUCUGUUAUAAGCUGUGUUACAUGCUUAAGUAAAUUAUAAAGGAUGCUUUUCUAUUUGUCUCUCUUUCUUUAACCUUUCAGUUUCACUUUUGAGGCACCAAACUUGUUUAGGACAUGUCACACGUUGGGACAGCAUGGCAGACCACU